AGUGAACGCUGGCGGUAGGCCUAACACAUGCAAGUCGAACGGCAGCACAGUAAGAGCUUGCUCUUACGGGUGGCGAGUGGCGGACGGGUGAGGAAUACAUCGGAAUCUACUUUUUCGUGGGGGAUAACGUAGGGAAACUUACGCUAAUACCGCAUACGACCUACGGGUGAAAGCAGGGGAUCUUCGGACCUUGCGCGAUUGAAUGAGCCGAUGUCGGAUUAGCUAGUUGGCGGGGUAAAGGCCCACCAAGGCGACGAUCCGUAGCUGGUCUGAGAGGAUGAUCAGCCACACUGGAACUGAGACACGGUCCAGACUCCUACGGGAGGCAGCAGUGGGGAAUAUUGGACAAUGGGCGCAAGCCUGAUCCAGCCAUACCGCGUGGGUGAAGAAGGCCUUCGGGUUGUAAAGCCCUUUUGUUUGGAAAGAAAAGCAGCAGGUUGAUACCCCGCUGUUCUGACGGUACCCAAAGAAUAAGCACCGGCUAACUUCGUG
This 492-nucleotide ribosomal RNA is filed under the name uncultured bacterium. RNAcentral describes it as "partial 16S ribosomal RNA". It matches the Rfam family "Bacterial small subunit ribosomal RNA", at positions 29 to 507 of the family's 1533-position model. The record is from RNAcentral.